Molecule: long non-coding RNA, 560 nt
Organism: Galleria mellonella (greater wax moth)
Lineage: Eukaryota; Metazoa; Arthropoda; Insecta; Lepidoptera; Pyralidae
Exons: 3
Source: RefSeq, a predicted model, not a curated record
CUUCGUUUAAAGAGGCUGGAUAAAUAAAUAAUAUACUCGCUAUCCCAACAAACGUCAUUCUGCCUUUUCCAUGGAGGGGCGGAGAUGUUCGUAAUGUAGGAAAUAGGUAAAUUAAUCCUCAUUGCUAGCAAAUUAUCCUAUUGUUUAAUAGAUGAAAAUGGAAUGGUGCAUCCGCCUAUGCUAACGACAUACAAUGAUAAAGCACCAGUGAAGGAUGAAACGAUGACGAUGAAGACAGGAUAAAAACUCAAGUUAGAGCAAACAAUAUCAUGACAUUUCAACUCAUAUUAUACAAGUCUAAGUAUACAAGGUUUUGAUUUUAUGACCGAGCGGCUGCUUGAUGUCAACCGUCUAAUGGAAGAAACAAUAUAUAUUUACAAAAUAUUAUUAACAUCGAUUGAGUAUAUUCGGAGAUUAGUGUGAAUACCAUGAUACGGAACCCUAAAAAGGGUUGAAAAAUAUAAGUACCUAAAUGAAUUCUAUUAGGUGAAUACCUAUAGUGAGUACGAGUGUACAAAUCUAAGGAUAUACAUAUUUCUAGCUCUCACUAUACAUACCCC